RNAcentral lists this ribosomal RNA (264 nucleotides) under uncultured archaeon. RNAcentral's name for it is "partial 16S ribosomal RNA". It matches the Rfam family "Archaeal small subunit ribosomal RNA", at positions 748 to 1010 of the family's 1478-position model. The record is from RNAcentral.
CAGCCGUAAGCAAUGUGCGUUAGGUGUGUCGGUAACCACGCGUUACUGAUGCGCCGAAGAGAAAUCGUGAAACGCACCACCUGGGAAGUACGGUCGCAAGGCUGAAACUUAAAGGAAUUGGCGGGGGGAGCACCACAACAGGUGGAGCCUGCGGUUUAAUUGGAUUCAACGCCGGACAUCUCACCGGAUAAGACAGCUGAAUGAUUGUCAAUCUGAAGGUUUUACAUGACUAGCUGAGAGGUGGUGCAUGGCGUCAGUGACUGU